AAGCACGCCAGUGAUUCUCUGAGCCGGUCUUUCUUUCCAACGCCUCGGGAAACUGGUCGAGAUAGAUGAUAGCACCUUUUUUUCCUCUUCUUUACCGGGAAGGCUAUCUUAUCUUCUUCCGCAAGCGCCUUCACCUCCCGCCCGGCCCGGAAAUAGAACCCAGCCCCCCUUCUGAUCCAUUCAUUUCUGCAAGUAGGCGGGAUCCAGAGCAAAGCCCCCCUCCUAUGUUG
Molecule: long non-coding RNA, 230 nt
Filed under: Spirodela polyrhiza (greater duckweed)
Lineage: Eukaryota; Viridiplantae; Streptophyta; Magnoliopsida; Alismatales; Araceae
Description: long non-coding RNA (SPOL_LNC001663)
Source: RNAcentral